GUCUCAAAGAUUAAGCCAUGCACGUCUAAGUAUAAAUAUUUUACUUUGAAAUUGUGAAUGGCUCAUUAUAUCAGUUCUAAUUUAUUUGAUAGUCCCUUACUACUUGGAUACCCGUAGUAAUUCUAGAGCUAAUACAUGCGUCAAUACCCCUCUGGGGUAGUAUUUAUUAGAUGGAAACCAAUCCCUUCGGGGUGAUGUGGUGAUUUAUAAUACCUUGCGGAUUGUAUGGUAUUGUUGGUGAUGGAUUAUUCAAGUUUCUGCCCUAUUAGUUUUGGAUGGUAGGGUAUUGGCCUAUUAUGGCUUUAACGGGUAACGGAGGAUUAGGGUUUGAUUCCGGAGAGGGGGCCUGAGAGAUGGCCACCAUAUCUAAGGAAGGUAGUAGGUGUGUAAAUUACCCAAUCCUGACACAGGGAGGUAGUGACAAUAAAUAACAAUGACGGACCUUUCUAGGUCUGUCAAUUGGAAUGAGAACGAUUUAAACCCCCUAUCGAGGACCCAUUGGAGGGCAAGUCUGGUGCCAGCAGCCGCGGUAAUUCCAGCUCCAAUAGUGUAUAUUAAAGUUGUUGUAGUUAAAAAGUUUGUAGUUGGAUUUGUGGCGUCUCGCGUGGCCCAAUUGUUGGUGCUGCAGCGGGGUGCCAUCCUUGGGUGGAUUUUGUGUGGCAUUAGGUUGUCGCGCAGGGGAUGCCCAUCGUUUACUGUGAAAAAAUCAGCGCGUUCAAAGCAGGCUUACGCCGUUGAAUGUAUUAGCAUGGAAUAAUAAGAUAGGACCUUGGUACUAUUUUGUUGGUUUGCGCACUGGGGUAAUGAUUAAUAGGGACAGUUGGGGGUAUUCGUAUUGCAUUGUCAGAGGUGAAAUUUUUGGAUUUUUGCAAGACGAACUACUGCGAAAGCAUUUACCAUGGAUGUUUUCAUUAAUCAAGAACGAAAGUUAGGGGAUCGAAGAUGAUUAGAUACCAUCGUAGUCUUAACCAUAAACUAUGCCGACAAGGGAUUGGUGGGGUCUCGUUACGUCUCCAUCAGCACCUUAUGAGAAAUCACAAGUUUCUGGGUUCCGGGGGGAGUAUGGUCGCAAGGCUGAAACUUAAAGAAAUUGACGGAAGGGCACCACCAGGAGUGGAGCCUGUGGUUUAAUUUGACCCAACACGGGGAAACUUACCAGGUCCAGACAUAGUGAGGAUUGACAGAUUGAGAGCUUUUUUUUGAUUUUAUGCUUGGUGGUGCAUGGCCGUUUUUAGUUGGUGGAGUGAUUUGUCUGGUUAAUUUUGUUAAUGAAUGAGAUUGCUGCCUGCUAAAUAGUCUUGCGAGUGAAUUUUACUGGCGAGGUCUUCUUAGAGGGACGUGCAUCCUAUUCGAUGCAGGAAGAUAGCGGCGAUAAUAGGUCUGUGAUGCCCUUAGAUGUUCUGGGCCGUAUGCGCGCUACACUGAUGCAUUCAACGAGUUACCUUGGCCGAGAGGCCUGGGCAAUCUUUUGAAUGUGCAUCGUGAUAGGGAUAGAUUCUUGCAAUUUUUAAUCUUGAACGAGGAAUUCCUAGUAAACGCAGAUUAUUAAUCUGCAUUGACUACGUCCCUGCCCUUUGUACACACCGCCCGUCGCACCUACCG
RNAcentral lists this ribosomal RNA (1602 nucleotides) under metagenome. RNAcentral's name for it is "SSU rRNA". It matches the Rfam family "Eukaryotic small subunit ribosomal RNA". The record is from RNAcentral.